GAUGAAGAACGCAGCGAAAUGCGAUAAGUAAUGUGAAUUGCAGAAUUCAGUGAAUCAUCGAAUCUUUGAACGCACAUUGCGCCCGCCAGUAUUCUGGCGGGCAUGCCUGUUCGAGCGUCAUUACAACCCUCAGGCCCCCGGGCCUGGCGUUGGGGAUCGGCGGAGCCCCCCGUGGGCACACGCCGUCCCCCAAAUGCAGUGGCGGUCCCGCCGCAGCUUCCAUCGCGUAGUAGCUAACACCUCGCGACUGGAGAGCGGCGCGGCCACGCCGUAAAACACCCAACUCUUCUGAAGUUGACCUCGGAUCAGGUAGGGAUACCCGCUGAACUUAAGCAUAUCAAUAAGCGGAGGA
This 352-nucleotide unclassified non-coding RNA is filed under the name soil metagenome. Its description in RNAcentral is "partial contains 5.8S ribosomal RNA, internal transcribed spacer 2, and large subunit ribosomal RNA". The stretch from base 1 to 120 matches the Rfam family "5.8S ribosomal RNA", at positions 35 to 154 of the family's 154-position model. The record is from RNAcentral.